CCUACGGGUGGCAGCAGUGAGGAAUAUUGGUCAAUGGACGAGAGUCUGAACCAGCCAAGUAGCGUGAAGGAUGACUGCCCUAUGGGUUGUAAACUUCUUUUAUAUGGGAAUAAAAUGUUCCACGUGUGGGAUUUUGUAUGUCCCAUAUGAAUAAGGAUCGGCUAACUCUGUGCCAGCAGCCGCGGUAAGACGGAGGAUCCGAGCGUUAUCCGGAUUUAUUGGGUUUAAAGGGAGCGUAGGUGGAUUGUUAAGUCAGUUGUGAAAGUUUGCGGCUCAACCGUAAAAUUGCAGUUGAAACUGGCAGUCUUGAGUACAGUAGAGGUGGGCGGAAUUCGUGGUGUAGCGGUGAAAUGCUUAGAUAUCACGAAGAACUCCGAUUGCGAAGGCAGUUCACUGGACUGCAAAUGACACUGAGGCUCGAAAGUGUGGGUAUCAAACAGGAUUAGAUACCCUUGUAGUC
RNAcentral lists this ribosomal RNA (460 nucleotides) under uncultured bacterium. RNAcentral describes it as "partial 16S ribosomal RNA". It matches the Rfam family "Bacterial small subunit ribosomal RNA", at positions 338 to 795 of the family's 1533-position model. The record is from RNAcentral.